RNAcentral lists this ribosomal RNA (253 nucleotides) under uncultured bacterium. Its description in RNAcentral is "partial 16S ribosomal RNA". It matches the Rfam family "Bacterial small subunit ribosomal RNA", at positions 524 to 776 of the family's 1533-position model. The record is from RNAcentral.
UACGAAGGGGGCUAGCGUUGUUCGGAAUUACUGGGCGUAAAGGGCGCGUAGGCGGACAGUUUAGUCAGAGGUGAAAGCCCAGGGCUCAACCCUGGAAUUGCCUUUGAUACUGGCUGUCUUGAGUACGGGAGAGGUGUGUGGAACUCCGAGUGUAGAGGUGAAAUUCGUAGAUAUUCGGAAGAACACCAGUGGCGAAGGCGACACACUGGCCCGUUACUGACGCUGAGGCGCGAAAGCGUGGGGAGCAAACAGG